GAGUUUGAUCGUGGCUCAGGACGAACGCUGGCGGCGUGCCUAACACAUGCAAGUCGAGCGAAGAUGUAUCUUCGGAUAUAUCUUAGCGGCGGACGGGUGAGUAACACGUGGGCAACCUGCCUUAGUGAGGGGGAUAGCCUUCCGAAAGGGAAGAUUAAUACCGCAUAACAUAUUGAUGCCACAUGGGUAUUGAUAUCAAAGGAGUAAUCCGCACUAAGAUGGGCCCGCGGCGCAUUAGCUAGUUAGGUGAGGUAACGGCUCACCAAGGCCACGAUGCGUAGCCGACCUGAGAGGGUGAUCGGCCACAUUGGAACUGAGACACGGUCCAGACU
RNAcentral lists this ribosomal RNA (332 nucleotides) under bacterium enrichment culture clone ALO1_GLFRUDD03FTSJU. Its description in RNAcentral is "bacterial SSU rRNA". It matches the Rfam family "Bacterial small subunit ribosomal RNA", at positions 9 to 337 of the family's 1533-position model. The record is from RNAcentral.